Bos taurus (domestic cattle) is the source of this 356-nucleotide long non-coding RNA. The record is from Ensembl. Lineage: Eukaryota; Metazoa; Chordata; Mammalia; Artiodactyla; Bovidae.
GGAGUGGGUUGCCAUUUCCUUCUCCAAUGCAGGAAAGUGAAAAGUGAAAGUGAAGUCGCUCAGUCAUGUCCGACCCUCAGCGACCCCAUGGACUGCAGCCCACCAGGCUCCUCCGUCCAUGGGAUUUUCCAGGCAAGAGUACUGGAGUGGGGUGUACUGGAGUGGAGGAGUACUGGAGUGGGGAGUACUGGAGUGGGGUGUACUGGAGUGGGGUGUACUGGAGUGGAGGAGUACUGGAGUGGGGUGUACUGGAGUGGAGGAGUACUGGAGUGGGGUGUACUGGAGUGGAGGAGUACUGGAGUGGGGUGCCAUUGCCUUCUCGGAACAGGGCCUUGCCCCCUCCCAUUCCAGAGUCG